This 596-nucleotide ribosomal RNA is filed under the name Atriplex torreyi var. griffithsii. RNAcentral's name for it is "eukaryotic LSU rRNA". The stretch from base 259 to 414 matches the Rfam family "5.8S ribosomal RNA". The record is from RNAcentral. Lineage: Eukaryota; Viridiplantae; Streptophyta; Magnoliopsida; Caryophyllales; Amaranthaceae.
UCCGUAGGUGAACCUGCGGAAGGAUCAUUGUCGAAACCUGCCCAGCAGAGCGACCAGAGAACGUGUUUAUCAUGAACGGGGUCGGGGCGAAAGCCCCUUCCUCAAGCCAGGGAAUCGCUUCGCCUCGGCAGGGCGUCCUCCCCGGCACAAUAACGAACCCCGGCGCGGUCUGCGCCAAGGAACAUGAAUACAAGCGUGCCCUUCCGCAACCGGUUCGCCGGUUGCGGACGUGGCACCAAGUCGUAUAUAACAUUAAACGACUCUCGGCAACGGAUAUCUCGGCUCUCGCAUCGAUGAAGAACGUAGCGAAAUGCGAUACUUGGUGUGAAUUGCAGAAUCCCGUGAACCAUCGAGUCUUUGAACGCAAGUUGCGCCCGAAGCCUUUAGGUCGAGGGCACGCCUGCCUGGGCGUCACGCAUCGCGUCUCCCCCCACCACCCCKUGUGGGUGGGGAGGAGGAUGAUGGCCUCCCAUGCCUCACCGGGCGUGGAUGGCCUAAAUAAGGAGCCCCCGGUUACGAAGUGCCGCGGCGAUUGGUGGAAUACAAGGCCUAGCCUAGGAUGAAACGGUAAUCGCGCACAUCGUAGCUCUUGAGGA